This is a long non-coding RNA of Hordeum vulgare subsp. vulgare (domesticated barley), 162 nucleotides long. RefSeq lists it as uncharacterized. The record is from RefSeq and is a predicted model, not a curated record. Lineage: Eukaryota; Viridiplantae; Streptophyta; Magnoliopsida; Poales; Poaceae. The transcript is spliced from 2 exons.
CAGGUUUUUGAUUGGAUAAUGAGCCUCUUUCAGAGAGAAUUACAUCAUAAUGCAUCAUACAUAGUUGCCUGGAUGAAUUAUGGGAACAAGAUGCCCCACUUGUUAUCAUGUUGUGUGGAUUAAAACAAACUUAUCACCCAUGGUGUUUAUAAAGCUUAGCCA